GUACUGACCUCUACUGUGGUGUUGAGCCUCUUCUUGACUCUGCCUAGUUUUAUAGAAUUAUUUGAAGCAUGCAUAUGAAAAAAUAAGUGCAACUGAUCACUUUUAAUGCAAAACAUCAGAAAAAGUAAUUGAAGAAAUCUUAUUCCAUCACCAAAAGAACCAGUGAAUGCAUCUUCUAUGGUGUGUGAAUACAGCUAAAGCAAAACUUGUUUUGUUUGUGACAAAAAACCUUUCCUGCAGUAGUCUCCAGGUUCAUCAUAUUUGUGUGUAUACGGGUGGAGAACCUCAUAAGUGCCCUUAUUUUGACUAGAGAACAACCUGAGAAGAACAAACUUCACUUUAAAACGCCUAACUGGGAACCUACCACAAGAAACAUGCCAACACAGCCCCUUUUGGCAUAUAUGGAGGGACCGGAUGGUAUAGCCAGUACUGUUGGUGCCCAGAUGGAGAGUAACGAUGCUUCAAUGCCAAUAAAAGGAACCAACACCAUUUCUUACAAAGGCUUGCAAGAAAAGUUCCUAAUGCAAGCUGAAGGAUGCAUGCCUUUGGAUUGCAUGUUUUGUGAUCAGACAUUUAAACACUCUGAAGAACUUGGUAAACAUGUCUUAACUCAGCAUAGGCCUACGCUUUGUGAACCAGCAGUUCUGCGUGUGGAAGCAAAAUAUCUUAGCCAUCUUGAUAAAUGUCAAGUGAGAGACUGUCCUCCAUCAAAUAGUGAGAAGGAUAAUGAAGAAUUUAGCUGUGAAGUUUGUGGACAAACAUUUGAUGAGGCUUUUGAUGUUGAGACUCAUAUGAAAAAACAUAAGGAUUCUUUCACAUAUUGGUGUAAUGUAUGUGGCAGAAGAUUUAAAGAGCCUUGGUUUCUCAAAAAUCACAUGAGAACACAUACUGGUAAACCUGGUUCGAGAAACAAGCUUCAGCAAGGUUCUGAAUGCCCAAUAACAAUAAAUGAGGUGGUGCAGGAGCAUGUAACUGAAAAUGUAAUAUCACCUUACAAAAUCUGCAUGGUUUGUGGUUUCCUAUUUCUCAACAAAGAGACUCUAAUUGAGCACAGUAAAGUGCACACCAAAGAAUCUGUGUCCAGUGGUGAUAAUCCACAAGUCCUUGAUGGAGCCAAUAAAGAUGGAAUGUAUUCACAAGAUCAGUUUCUGCAGUUUUUGGACUUAAGGCCAAACUUGACUUCAGAAAACAGCAAAUUGCAAAAACCUGUGAAAUGGAUAGCUGAGCUAGAUCCAUUCAACACAUAUCAAGCAUGGCAGCUAGCCACCAAAGGGAAAGUUGCAGUUGGCCAUGGGCAGAUCAAAGAACCAGGGCAAGAAGGAAGUACUGACAAUGAUGAUUCAUCUUCUGAUAAAGAAGAACCUGGUGAAAUUUGGAAUGCAAAUAAAAAUAACCAGGUUAGCCAGACAGAAACUACAGGGAAGUCAAAGGUAAAUAAAAGCAGUUAUACAGGAACUGGUAUCGUGUCUCAAGACAAAGUGAAACAUCCCAGUGGAGAAGUGCCUUCUAUGGAAGUGGAAUCUAAAUUGUCACAAAACAAAGAUAAACCAACGCACUGCUCAGUGUGUGGCAAAGCCUUUAGAACCUACCAUCAACUUGUCCUGCAUUCGAGAGUACAUAAAAAAGACAGGAGGAGUGAUGGAGAAACUUCAGCCACCGCCAGAACAUGCUGUACAGAUGUGAUUGUAACUUUGGAUGAAAAUGGAGCAGUAGAGCGAACAGAGGGAGGCUCUGAAGACGGCUCUGAAGAUGGACUUACAGAGGCCCUUCAUUUAGAUAAGAAUGAAGAUGUCCUGGAAAGAACAAAAGUUAAAAACCUUGGAGCCUCCAGAGAAUGCAGCUACUGUGGAAAAUAUUUCCGCUCAAAUUAUUACCUCAAUAUUCAUCUCCGAACUCAUACAGGUGAGAAACCAUACAAAUGUGAAUUUUGUGAGUAUGCAGCAGCCCAGAAAACUUCAUUAAGGUAUCAUUUAGAGAGGCAUCACAAGGACAAGCAGGCUGAUAUUGCAACAGAUGUGAAAAAUGAUAGCAAAGUUUCGUUACAAAGUCAGGAGACAGAUCUUUUGCUGGCUGCUGAUGGUGCUCAAGAAACCAAAAAUUUGAAAAGGUGUAUCGAUGGUGCCAAAGAUGCUGAAGGCUGCCCACCUGUAAAGCAACACAAAGGGAUUGCUUCCUUUCAGAGUGUACUGGGCAGUGCAGUCCGUUUGACCAUGAAAUAUGAUACUCAGGAAUCAAACAAAGGUGCAGAUUGUAAUAGCUCAAAUCAAAUGAAUGAGAAUGCAUCCAGUCCUUCUCUGGAAAAGCUAAAAGCAGAGAACAAAGCAGUGGAGUCCCAGACAAAUGAUCUUUAUAAAAGAGGGACAGAGACUCCUGAGGCAUCAGAAGAUGAUGUCCAGUACGUUCGUGCUUUAAAGAAUGGAAAUAACAUGGAUGAAAUGCGAGGAAACACAGAAAACUGCGAAUAUAAACAUACAGUGGACUCUCAAGAAAAGCCAUUAAAUUUAUCUCUUGGGACUUCACAAGAAUGUUCAGUGAUCUCAACUAGAGGCUUGUUAGCAACCAGCACCUGUCCAUUUUGUACUUACCGAACUUUUUAUCCAGAGGUCUUAAUGAUGCACCAGAGGCUGAUGCACAAGUACAAUCCUGAUGCUGUUAACAAAAACGGUUACAGAAAUAAGGCUGUGGCCAGGGCCAGACGUACUGGGUGCCCUCCAGCCCUUCUUGGUAAAGAUGUGCUUCCCCUGUCAUUUAAUUCUAGUAAAAGGAAGGCUUCCCUGUCUACUCAGCCAAAAUUGUUGCAAACAGGAAAGGCUAAACAGUGUCCCUGUCUACAGAGCAAAGUCCCUGUGUUUCCAUUGUCUGACUCCAGCAGUUCUGCUCCAAGUAACUUGAAGGCUUUUAAACCACAGAAUAAUAUUGCAGCUCAGGCGAGUAGCUAUAGACAACCACAGCAGGAAAUGCACUCAAAUCCUAGUAUCUCUUCUGCAGUGGACAGGAUGAAAAGGCCUGAACUGAGAGUAAAAGCUCCAAGUAUCUCAGCUUCUCAACCUGUAAACAGCAGUGUCAAUGGCUUGCUUGACUGUCCCCUUAGCGAAUCUGCCUGGCCCAUUCAUCGAGGAAGGGAUUAUCUCUGUAAUAGAUCAGCAGGUAACAUAAACUUAGAAUAUGGAGAGCCAUCUUCUAAAAGAGCAAAACCUAAUCUGUUAGGUAUUGAACACAUUGACUCUGCGGUGGCCAAUUACAGAAGAUAUGGAAUGAACCGAUUUCGUGUUACAAACAGAUAUGCAAAUAUGUUACCUCAGGAAUGCUCUCACACCAAACCUGCAUCCCCUGUUUUGCCAACCAAACAAGGGCUUCUGAACUCAGAUGAAGUUGAGUCUCCUAAUGUACUGACUGUUCUAAAACCCUAUGAGCCAUAUAGUCCUGCAUCACUUUACAGUUCUUGUGGACCUAGCAAUGGCCAAGCAACUAGCUCUUCAAUAGAAGGAAGGAGGCCAGUAGCGUACCAGCACCUGUCAAACAGCAUGCUACAGAAACGAAAUUAUGAGAGUCUUAUUGGCAAUGCACACUUCCGACCAAAUGACAAGAAAACUUGAUUGUUUACUUUGUGAGAAGAGUGAGGCAGCAGUUUGCAUUGAGAAUGCAGAACUGCACUGGACAAGCUGUUGGAAGGAAAGCUAGAGGUUUUGGCAGCUGGCACAACAGGUUUUGGCACUCAAGGAUGCAUAGAAGUCAGCUUGAAAUUGUGGGGAAAAGCAGGGAAUAGAAGCAAUGGCCUCCGGCAUCCUAGGACCUAAACUUCUAUAGAGUCAUUGGAAAAAGACUUUUGAAGUGCCCGAGCGCUCUACAAGAUACAGGAAAAUGAUAGGCAACUUCAAAGGGACAGCAGCCAUCUGACUAAGCACUUGCUGCACCCAUUGAAGUCCAUGGGAGUUGUCAUCUUCAAUGGACUUUGAAUCAGACUCUCCUGAUGCUGUAGUUGGACAUAUGGUACUAACUUGCAAGGCUGCAGCUAGACACAAGUCAUCCCUGUGUUAUUUCUAGAUGUCAUUUUUUGAUGUACUUUCAUUAGAUUUUUAUGGAAGCAAAAAAUCUGUUCCUACAAUAUCCAGCUAGCAAGAAAGAAGAAAUCUAGGUAAAUUUUUGCUUCAUUUAAGACUCUUUUGACAACUAAUGAUAAUGUUCCAGACUCUAAAUGCUAUACAGUUAUCCAUAAUUAGGACUAAAGGCGUGUCAAGCUAAAUAAUAUGCUAUCUAUGUGAUUUACACUGAUUAUGCAGAGCAUUUUCACUAUCUGAUUUUUGUCUAUACAUCCAUUUUUAAACUGCAUCACAGAGGUAGCCUUGCAGCACCUUUAUUAAGUAAAUAAAAUGUCUCAUAAAGCAUAUUUAAUUUACAAGACAGAAAUCCCAAUAUAAUUGGCAAAAAUGUUUUCAGAGUUCAACAAGACUCAUUAGUCCUGCUAAUAUUUCCAAAUAAUUUCUCGCACUCGUUUAGGGGGCAGUCCCAAUCACAAAGAAGUCAAUGAUUUCAGUGGGAUCAGCUGAGAUCCUCAGCUUGUGCCAAACACUGCAUGUAUAUUGAAGUCCGGGGAAUUAAACUGAGCCAUGGCGUAACUAUCUAGAGGUACUACUUUAGCUCAUAAGCAAAUAUGUUUGAAAAAAAUCUCCCUUCUUUUUUCCGAGUCUCUUCUUUUUGGAAAGUUCUGAUUUCUGUAUUUUUCAUUCAUUGGUUCUAGAUUCUUUAAACCGUCUUCUGCAAUGAUCUUAAGAAUGUGCUUCAGUAUUUUUCUGCACCAGUUUCUGUAUGAGCAGACAAGAGCUACUUAAGCUAUACCUAUACAGUGCUGUUAAUCCAGAUUUCUACUUGAGUUUUAACCUCAAUCUCCUCCUGUGGCAUAGAAAAAACACAGAUAGAUUUGCACCUGCAGGGCUGGGGUAGCUUAUCCGGCUGCAGACAUAGUUAGACCCACUUAUUUUGGUACCCACACACUUUGCAAUAAGGACCUGGUUCAAAAUCACACAAAUGUUGAUAAUCCUCCUCUGUCCAUGUACAAAGGUGGGUAAAUUUUUCUACAAUUGACUAGGACAAAGGAAACACCCCAAAUAGAAAUCAAUUAAAAAUAAUGAGCUAUACAUCAA
This is an RNA transcript of Alligator sinensis (Chinese alligator), 5141 nucleotides long. It is a transcript of the gene named zinc finger protein 217, with no coding region annotated. Lineage: Eukaryota; Metazoa; Chordata; Crocodylia; Alligatoridae. The record is from RefSeq and is a predicted model, not a curated record. The transcript has 7 exons.